GACAGAGGGUGCAAACGUUGCUCGGAAUUACUGGGCGUAAAGCGCGUGUAGGUGGAUUGGUGUGUCAGAUGUGAAAUCCCUGGGCUCAACCCAGGAACUGCACCUGAAACUACCAGUCUUGAGUGGUGGAGAGGGAAGUGGAAUUCCUGGUGUAGAGGUGAAAUUCGUAGAUAUCAGGAGGAACGCCAGUGGCGAAGGCGGCUUCCUGGACACCAACUGACGCUGAGACGCGAAAGCGUGGGGAGCAAACAGG
RNAcentral lists this ribosomal RNA (253 nucleotides) under uncultured bacterium. RNAcentral describes it as "partial 16S ribosomal RNA". It matches the Rfam family "Bacterial small subunit ribosomal RNA", at positions 524 to 776 of the family's 1533-position model. The record is from RNAcentral.